UCAAUUUAAAUUUUAGUGUAGCUUUACAGUGUACGCUUCUAUUGUUGCAUUCUGUCAGAGGUAUGGUAAUGUUUCGCGUGUAUAGCAACUAGACUGUCUAUAUACAGUGGUAAAAAUGUGCGAACUGAAUUUUUUAAUGAUUUGAUAGAAUGUGUAGAACAAUAAAGCCAUACAAUCAACGCACAGUGAUGUGACUUUCUCUGCACAUGUUGCAGGUUCAAAAAAGUAUGGCGGAACCUGUUGCCAAGGUUCUCACGGGAAAAGAAAGCCAGUAUAAAAGGGUCCACACCACUUAUCUCUACUACAGGGGAUGGACAGCACAUUGAGCGCCCUCGACUGAAGCCAACCUUGUCCCGGAAGUUGGUGCUUCACAACUUUGCAGCAGCACUUUGUUUGCACGGCCUGUGGAGACAAGGUUUCUUAGACAUGGCCGUGGCCCUCAAGGAAGAUGCCGAGGCCACAGGCAGUUCCUCCAGUGACCGUGAAAAGGUCCCCUGGGGCACAAGUCUAAUUUGGCACCCCUACCUUUCGCCUGCAGCUUUUCUGUCUACUUAGCUAACCAGCAGCAAGUUUAUCCUUGCAAGCAUUUGGGGUCAAGAACAACUUUCACCAGGAAGAAGUGCAAGACGAGUGAUUGAAGAAAAUAAAGUUGCUUCU
This 657-nucleotide long non-coding RNA is filed under the name Dermacentor andersoni. Its description in RNAcentral is "uncharacterized LOC126528299". The record is from RNAcentral. Lineage: Eukaryota; Metazoa; Arthropoda; Arachnida; Ixodida; Ixodidae.